Molecule: transfer RNA, 86 nt
Filed under: Onchocerca volvulus
Lineage: Eukaryota; Metazoa; Nematoda; Chromadorea; Rhabditida; Onchocercidae
Description: tRNA OVOC13116
Rfam family: tRNA
About the family: Transfer RNA (tRNA) molecules are approximately 80 nucleotides in length.
Source: RNAcentral
GUACGGAUGGCCGAGUGGUCUAAGGCGCCAGAUUCAAAUAUUUUGGUAUCGUUAUAGAUGUGUGAGGGCGAAUCCUACUCCGUACA